CGAGCAUCUGUGGGAUGUGCUGGACAAACAUGUCCGAUCCAUGGAGGCCCCACGUCACAACUUACAGGACUUAAAGGAUCUGCUGCUAACGUCUUGGUGCCAGAUACCACAGCACACCUUCAGAGGUCUUGUGGAGUCCAUGCGCAAGUUGGUCAGGACUGUUUUGCGAGCACAAGGGGGACCUACACAACAUCAGUGUAUAGGACUCUAUGUUACCUUUCCUACACAAUCAUGGGAGCGGACAUAAAACUGUCCUCCUUGGAUAAGGUUGAGGGGUUUGGCGGCUGUUCGUCAUCACCGAUCUCUGUAUCCAUCUCUACGUGUUCGUAAUACGGCGGGGGGAUCUCGCUGUCCUCCAAGCCAGAGGUGGUGUUGUGGUAAGUCAGCUUCGGCUGAUCGUCCUCAUCGUCGCCGUGGUACGAGUCCAAAUCCUGUGAGAGACGAAAACAAUGAUGAUGUCGUUUAGUUAUACUCGUAACAUAAACACAAGAGCAGCUCAUAACCAGAGGUUCAGGUGGGGGAGGAUGAUGUUAAUAAUGACAUAGCCUUAAAGAAAAUCAAGUUGACAGGCUAUCACACCUGACGUAUAGGCUACAAUCUAGUAUGUUAUGAACGUUUUGGAAUAACCCCAUAAGAGACAUUCACGACAAGGUUUACAAGACCUGAACAAACUAACAAGGGAACAGAAAGAUGUGUGCUGCGUCCCAAUUCGCCUACUUAUACUACGCA
Molecule: long non-coding RNA, 729 nt
Organism: Ictalurus punctatus (channel catfish)
Lineage: Eukaryota; Metazoa; Chordata; Actinopteri; Siluriformes; Ictaluridae
Source: Ensembl